GGUUAAGCGACUAAGCGUACACGGUGGAUGCCCUGGCAGUCAGAGGCGAUGAAGGACGUGCUAAUCUGCGAUAAGCGUCGGUAAGGUGAUAUGAACCGUUAUAACCGGCGAUUUCCGAAUGGGGAAACCCAGUGUGUUUCGACACACUAUCAUUAACUGAAUCCAUAGGUUAAUGAGGCGAACCGGGGGAACUGAAACAUCUAAGUACCCCGAGGAAAAGAAAUCAACCGAGAUUCCCCCAGUAGCGGCGAGCGAACGGGGAGGAGCCCAGAGCCUGAAUCAGUGUGUGUGUUAGUGGAAGCGUCUGGAAAGGCGCGCGAUACAGGGUGACAGCCCCGUACACAAAAAUGCACAUGCUGUGAGCUCGAUGAGUAGGGCGGGACACGUGGUAUCCUGUCUGAAUAUGGGGGGACCAUCCUCCAAGGCUAAAUACUCCUGACUGACCGAUAGUGAACCAGUACCGUGAGGGAAAGGCGAAAAGAACCCCGGCGAGGGGAGUGAAAAAGAACCUGAAACCGUGUACGUACAAGCAGUGGGAGCACGCUUAGGCGUGUGACUGCGUACCUUUUGUAUAAUGGGUCAGCGACUUAUAUUCUGUAGCAAGGUUAACCGAAUAGGGGAGCCGAAGGGAAACCGAGUCUUAACUGGGCGUUAAGUUGCAGGGUAUAGACCCGAAACCCGGUGAUCUAGCCAUGGGCAGGUUGAAGGUUGGGUAACACUAACUGGAGGACCGAACCGACUAAUGUUGAAAAAUUAGCGGAUGACUUGUGGCUGGGGGUGAAAGGCCAAUCAAACCGGGAGAUAGCUGGUUCUCCCCGAAAGCUAUUUAGGUAGCGCCUCGUGAAUUCAUCUCCGGGGGUAGAGCACUGUUUCGGCAAGGGGGUCAUCCCGACUUACCAACCCGAUGCAAACUGCGAAUACCGGAGAAUGUUAUCACGGGAGACACACGGCGGGUGUUAACGUCCGUCGUGAAGAGGGAAACAACCCAGACCGCCAGCUAAGGUCCCAAAGUCAUGGUUAAGUGGGAAACGAUGUGGGAAGGCCCAGACAGCCAGGAUGUUGGCUUAGAAGCAGCCAUCAUUUAAAGAAAGCGUAAUAGCUCACUGGUCGAGUCGGCCUGCGCGGAAGAUGUAACGGGGCUAAACCAUGCACCGAAGCUGCGGCAGCGACACUGUGUGUUGUUGGGUAGGGGAGCGUUCUGUAAGCCUGUGAAGGUGUACUGUGAGGUAUGCUGGAGGUAUCAGAAGUGCGAAUGCUGACAUAAGUAACGAUAAAGCGGGUGAAAAGCCCGCUCGCCGGAAGACCAAGGGUUCCUGUCCAACGUUAAUCGGGGCAGGGUGAGUCGACCCCUAAGGCGAGGCCGAAAGGCGUAGUCGAUGGGAAACAGGUUAAUAUUCCUGUACUUGGUGUUACUGCGAAGGGGGGACGGAGAAGGCUAUGUUGGCCGGGCGACGGUUGUCCCGGUUUAAGCGUGUAGGCUGGUUUUCCAGGCAAAUCCGGAAAAUCAAGGCUGAGGCGUGAUGACGAGGCACUACGGUGCUGAAGCAACAAAUGCCCUGCUUCCAGGAAAAGCCUCUAAGCAUCAGGUAACAUCAAAUCGUACCCCAAACCGACACAGGUGGUCAGGUAGAGAAUACCAAGGCGCUUGAGAGAACUCGGGUGAAGGAACUAGGCAAAAUGGUGCCGUAACUUCGGGAGAAGGCACGCUGAUAUGUAGGUGAAGCGACUUGCUCGUGGAGCUGAAAUCAGUCGAAGAUACCAGCUGGCUGCAACUGUUUAUUAAAAACACAGCACUGUGCAAACACGAAAGUGGACGUAUACGGUGUGACGCCUGCCCGGUGCCGGAAGGUUAAUUGAUGGGGUUAGCGCAAGCGAAGCUCUUGAUCGAAGCCCCGGUAAACGGCGGCCGUAACUAUAACGGUCCUAAGGUAGCGAAAUUCCUUGUCGGGUAAGUUCCGACCUGCACGAAUGGCGUAAUGAUGGCCAGGCUGUCUCCACCCGAGACUCAGUGAAAUUGAAUUCGCUGUGAAGAUGCAGUGUACCCGCGGCAAGACGGAAAGACCCCGUGAACCUUUACUAUAGCUUGACACUGAACAUUGAGCCUUGAUGUGUAGGAUAGGUGGGAGGCUUUGAAGUGUGGACGCCAGUCUGCAUGGAGCCGACCUUGAAAUACCACCCUUUAAUGUUUGAUGUUCUAACGUUGACCCGUAAUCCGGGUUGCGGACAGUGUCUGGUGGGUAGUUUGACUGGGGCGGUCUCCUCCUAAAGAGUAACGGAGGAGCACGAAGGUUGGCUAAUCCUGGUCGGACAUCAGGAGGUUAGUGCAAUGGCAUAAGCCAGCUUGACUGCGAGCGUGACGGCGCGAGCAGGUGCGAAAGCAGGUCAUAGUGAUCCGGUGGUUCUGAAUGGAAGGGCCAUCGCUCAACGGAUAAAAGGUACUCCGGGGAUAACAGGCUGAUACCGCCCAAGAGUUCAUAUCGACGGCGGUGUUUGGCACCUCGAUGUCGGCUCAUCACAUCCUGGGGCUGAAGUAGGUCCCAAGGGUAUGGCUGUUCGCCAUUUAAAGUGGUACGCGAGCUGGGUUUAGAACGUCGUGAGACAGUUCGGUCCCUAUCUGCCGUGGGCGCUGGAGAACUGAGGGGGGCUGCUCCUAGUACGAGAGGACCGGAGUGGACGCAUCACUGGUGUUCGGGUUGUCAUGCCAAUGGCACUGCCCGGUAGCUAAAUGCGGAAGAGAUAAGUGCUGAAAGCAUCUAAGCACGAAACUUGCCCCGAGAUGAGUUCUCCCUGACCCUUUAAGGGUCCUGAAGGAACGUUGAAGACGACGACGUUGAUAGGCCGGGUGUGUAAGCGCAGCGAUGCGUUGAGCUAACCGGUACUAAUGAACCGUGAGGCUUAACCUU
This 2903-nucleotide ribosomal RNA is filed under the name Escherichia coli. Its description in RNAcentral is "23S ribosomal RNA". It matches the Rfam family "Bacterial large subunit ribosomal RNA". The record is from RNAcentral. Lineage: Bacteria; Pseudomonadati; Pseudomonadota; Gammaproteobacteria; Enterobacterales; Enterobacteriaceae.